This 1034-nucleotide long non-coding RNA is filed under the name Anas platyrhynchos platyrhynchos (common mallard). RNAcentral's name for it is "lncRNA (ENSAPLG00000016578.1)". The record is from RNAcentral. Lineage: Eukaryota; Metazoa; Chordata; Aves; Anseriformes; Anatidae.
UUUUCGGUGGUGGUGGUGAGCGGGCUUUUCGUCGGCCUCCCCCCCCCUCCAACGGCACCGCCUGAUCCACGCCGCCCUCAGCGCCGAACUGGCCGGCCCCCUGCACGCCCUCGCCAUCGUCGCCAAGACCCCCCAGCAGUGGGAACAAGACCCCCACGUCCCCCCCCGGCCCCCCUGCCUGGGGGGGUCCAAGCACGAGCGGCGCGGGGCCGGCGACGCCGCUUCGGCGUGAUGCUGAGCCCCUAAAUGGGGGUUUUGGGGGGGUUUUGGUCGUUUUAGGGUUUUUUUGGGGGUCGUUUUUAGGGUAUGGAGGAUCUGGGGGCGCAGCUUUUGGGGUGACCCCCCCCACACACCCAGCCCGCGCUGCGCCUUCCCAUUGAUCCCCUCCUAAAUUUUGGGGGGCGAUUUGGGGGAUUUUCAAUCCACUCCCAAAUUUUUUUGGGGGGCGAUUUGGAGGAUUUUCAAUCCCCUCCCAAAUUUUUGGGGGAUUUUCAAUCCCCUCCCAGAUUUUUGGGGGGCGAUUUGGAGGAUUUUCAAUCCUCUCCCAAAUUUUUAGGGGUGAUUUGGGGGAUUUUCAAUCCAAUCCCAAAUUUUUGGAGGAUUUUCAAUCCCCUCCCAAAUUUUGGGGGGCGAUUUGGGGGAUUUUCUCCACGCCACCUUCAAGGCGUCCACCUCUUGCCCCCCCCCCCAUGUAAAUCUUCCCCCCCCCCAACCCUCAUCACGCCCCCCCGCAUCCCAAACCCCGACCCCAAAAAUAAACAGCUCCUGGUCCUGAUCCGAAGCGGCUCCGCUGGGUGUUAUUGGGGUAACACGGCGUAAGGGGGGGGGGGGGAUUUCAUUAUUUUUUUUGUCGUUUCCGUGGUUUUCAUCAUUUUUGUUGUUUUUUUUCUUUAAUUCUUUACAAACAUCUAAAAACUACAGCACGGCACGAACUGCAUACGGACAGAACUAGGGGUGUGCUCCGAGAAAAAGACCAGCUACAGCGAAAUGGGGGGGGGGCGCGAGGAAGAGGAGGAGGAGGAGGAGGAGGAAGA